AGCAUUUACGACCACUUAUUUUCAUCAGAAAAAAAACAAAAGAAAUAAGCAUCUCUGAUACUGAUUGUAACAUUCCUAGUUUUGUAACUCGAAAAGUUUUCCUAUUUCACUGGUUGCUGAUUUUAAGCUUGAGUAACCUGUCCAUUUUUUUAAACACCAAUAUUUAUAGUCAUAUUGUCAGUUGCAUUUGUUUCUUAACCGUCUGCAGUUUAAUCUUCGUUUCUCCAUUUAUUUACUUGUGCAAUUAACCGCUUAAAUUGUUCCCGUUGCAGGUUGCCAGCGUGACAUUUGACUUGCUUUUGCUGUUGGUUCUAGGAUCAUACUUGAUUACACUUUUCAGUUUUCCUUUUUAUCACCACCAGGGGUCUUGACGAUCUUAUUAGUCUAUUCCGUCGCCCCCCAUCACAGAAAGUAAAAACCGCUUGAUUCCUGAAGCAGGACUUUUCGGCAUCAGGUGCUUGUGAAUCAAGAAGCAGGCGUUACUUUUUGUAAUCUUAAGGAAGCUCAUUUUCGGCAAGUUGUUAUCAGUGGUUCAAUGUAUCGUCAUGUAAACAUUUAGCAUUUCAUGGAAAAGCUCCACAUAUUUUGCUAUGGUAGGUUUCCCAUAGUCAUUUUUUUAUUGAGAUAAGAAUGUCAUUCUCGCAGCCGGCUUUUCUCAUAGAAUUAUGAGUUCUAAACAUGUAAACCAGCUGACGUAGGGCGUCAAUUUUGGCAGAUUGAAUGUAUUUAAGU
Capsicum annuum is the source of this 732-nucleotide long non-coding RNA. RefSeq lists it as uncharacterized. Lineage: Eukaryota; Viridiplantae; Streptophyta; Magnoliopsida; Solanales; Solanaceae. The record is from RefSeq and is a predicted model, not a curated record. The transcript has 2 exons.